UCCAGACUCCUACGGGAGGCAGCAGUGGGGAAUAUUGCACAAUGGGGGAAACCCUGAUGCAGCGACGCCGCGUGAGCGAUGAAGUAUUUCGGUAUGUAAAGCUCUAUCAGCAGGGAAGAAGAUGACGGUACCUGAUUAAGAAGCCCCGGCUAACUACGUGCCAGCAGCCGCGGUAAUACGUAGGGGGCGAGCGUUAUCCGGAUUCACUGGGUGUAAAGGGAGCGUAGACGGCCAUGCAAGCCAGGGGUGAAAGCCCGGGGCCCAACCCCGGGACUGCUCUUGGAACUGCAUGGCUGGAGUACAGGAGGGGCAGGCGGAAUCCCUAGUGUAGCGGUGAAAUGCGUAGAUAUUAGGAGGAACACCGGUGGCGAAGGCGGCCUGCUGGACUGUGACUGACGUUGAGGCCCGAAGGCGUGGGGAGCAAACAGGAUUAGAUACCCCGGUAC
RNAcentral lists this ribosomal RNA (446 nucleotides) under uncultured bacterium. Its description in RNAcentral is "bacterial SSU rRNA". It matches the Rfam family "Bacterial small subunit ribosomal RNA", at positions 330 to 793 of the family's 1533-position model. The record is from RNAcentral.